CCCGAAUCAUUCCCUAUAGCAUCUCACCCGAUUGAAAACCCUUCUCCAUCGCCGAAACCCUCGCCGCCCCUCGUGAGCCCUCUCUCUUCCCUCUUUUUAGCUCAUGGUUUCCACCUUCGUCAUUGUCCUCCUCAUUCUCUUCUCAUCCUCCGCCCUUGUUGUCAUCUCCUCUGUUACCUGUCAGGACGCCCUCACCCUCUCCAAGCAAGAUAGGGUCGUCCCUGUCUGUAUCGACGAGGAAGUGAGAAUGCUCUACCUGGAGUGGAGGGCCAAGCAUCGCCCUGCCGAAAAUGACCAAUAUCUAGACGAAUAUCAACUCAAGGUCUUCAAGGAGAACCUCCGGAUUGUCGAAGAGCACAAUUCGAUGGCCGACCACGGGGAGCACACCUACUGCCUCACGAUGAACUAGUUCGCUGACCUCACCAACGAGGAGUACUUGUCAGGUUCCUCAUGGACUUCAGAUCCACCUCUCAGAACAUCAGCAAUUAGUACCGGCUGAGAGAAGGGGACGAUCUGCCUGAUUCCAUCGACUAGAGGCAGAAGGCGCUGUCAUCGCCAUAAAGGAUCAUCUCAACUACGAUGACCUAUUCCUUCCUUUAUUGAUUUCAGAUUUGUGUGUGUGUGUGUGGUCAGUGAUAGUAAAGUUAGAUAUCUUGCUUUUGUUUGAUGAACAUUUUUCCAGUAAGUGUAGCCUUCACCUCUCGUUUGACUUUGGACAAAAGAGGUGCUUUGGAGUAAUUAGUAUGGGGAUUUGCUUCCACCAUACCUCUUAUUUAGGCCCUAAGAAUUUUGUUAGAUCUAUAAAUUUAUCUACCGCUAGCAUCUAAAUCUUGAAAUCCUGAUAGAUCUAUGUACUCACCAAAUAGAGAUUUUCACUUACUAGUGUUGUAAUAGUAAGUCCUUAAUUGCAGAUGUAUUUUACAGGCUAUAGGUUAGAAUCUUGAUGAAGUUGUAUAACUCUUCUAUGUCAGCAAUGAAAGUGGUGGGGUGGAGUCAUCUUUCUUAACUUGAGGGAUUAAUGGAAUUACUAGGUGGUCUUCGACUAAACCUAUGAAAAUUAGAGUGUGUUUUUAUUGGAUAUAGUUUGCGAUGACUUUUUUUUCUUUGAAAUUUCUAUUUCUUCAAUGAGGAAAAUAUUCUUAAUUGCCUUAACAUUUUCAUAAUUUCUGUACUUCUAUUAACUUAAUUUGCAUAAUUCUAUCUAUUGUUGCGUACUAAUACAUUUCAAAGUUCAAUUAUUUGAUGGUUCCUUUAUUGCCAUUGAAUUUUAUUUAAUACAAAACACCACAGAUCUCGACUCUUGACCAAGUUCAGAUGUUCCCUUCGGCAUAUCAAGACAUUCUGCUAUUUGGGAAUCAAGCGAGAGCGCUGUGUCAACAUCAAAUUGUACCAAUCUUGCUUCAUUAUAUACUCCACCUUUUGCCUUGAUAUUCCAAGGGCAUUUUGACCAGGUUGUCCUAGAAGUAAGUAUAGAGAUGCUUGUAAUGGUUAAUGAAGACAACAUUACUAGAUGGAUUGAUUAUGUUGUUUAUGAUAAAAUAUUCUUUGAAAGAAUUGGGUAUCCUUGGCUUUUGACUAAACCAUGAAUGGUAUUAGCUAUCUUGUUAAAGGCUUAAUUUGCAUUAAGAAAUGCUCAAAUUCUUAAUGGAUCAAAUUUCUAUUGUUGUAUUAGCUUUGACAUGAUUUGGUUAUAAAAUUAGAUUGUUAGUGGUGACAUUUGUAGCAAUAUUGGGAAUGAAUUUGGUAACAAUAGCGAUAUCAACAUUGGUGCAAAAAAAAGUGGUGAUUUUGGUCAUGUUUUUCAGGUGAUUAUUAUAAAAUUAUGUAUUUUUGAAUCACAAAAUUAUUACAAAAAUAUAUAUGAUUGAAUUAAUAACUUUGUAUUGUUUACUUACAGUCAAAUUUGAGAAAUGUGAGUCAUGGAGAUAUCUGUGCUAAUACUAAAUGUAAGUUGCUUCAUUGGUCUACUGAUGAAUUAGUUGUUGCAGAAGGUCGAAUUGCAUCCACAUAUCCAAACACAAAAGUGCAUCACGUUAUUCUUGGUGGAUCAUGUUGGAAAGUUUGGGUUGAUAAAGUUUUGGUGGAAAAGGUGGACCUAAUUCGACCAAAUGAUGAAAUGCAGUUUCUUGAUGAUGCAAUAGGAAGCACGGUUGCAUGGUUAUCGAAAUUUAUAGUAUUGUGUGAUUGAUACAUAAUAUACUAAUUUGUGUGGAUUGUAAGUUUAAUUAUUGUUAACUAAUAACUAGUUUGAUAGAGAUUUUGUAUCUUGUUUAAGAUCUUUAAAUUUUGUUUGUAUAAUGAAAAA
Molecule: long non-coding RNA, 2305 nt
Organism: Zingiber officinale
Lineage: Eukaryota; Viridiplantae; Streptophyta; Magnoliopsida; Zingiberales; Zingiberaceae
Exons: 2
Source: RefSeq, a predicted model, not a curated record